Molecule: ribosomal RNA, 225 nt
Filed under: uncultured bacterium
Lineage: Bacteria
Description: partial 16S ribosomal RNA
Rfam family: Bacterial small subunit ribosomal RNA
Source: RNAcentral
UACGUAGGGUGCGAGCGUUAAUCGGAAUUACUGGGCGUAAAGGCGUGCGCAGGCGGUUUGUUAAGACAGAUGUGAAAUCCCCGGGCUUAACCCUGGGAACUGGCAUUUGUGACUGGCAAGCUAGAGUAUGGCAGAGGGGGGGUAGAAGUUCCACGUGUAGCAGUGAAAUGACGUAGAGAUGUGGAGGAAUACCGAUGGCGAAGGCAGCCCCCUGGGCCCAAUGAC